This 990-nucleotide long non-coding RNA is filed under the name Olea europaea subsp. europaea. Lineage: Eukaryota; Viridiplantae; Streptophyta; Magnoliopsida; Lamiales; Oleaceae. The record is from RNAcentral.
UUCUAUUGUUUAUUGAAUCAAAUCAAUAAAAACUUGCUUCAUUCAUAUGAAAUUUAACAAUGUAUGUAGAAACACAGUAAAGCUCCUCUUUUCUCGUACCAGAUAAUUCAGAGUUCUCAUCAUGCUCAUUUUAUCUGGAUUGAUUCCUAUGCGAAGCUUCCGGUCGAAGUUAUAGAGAAAUUGAGCUAAAGGAAGCUCCAAUGCUAGCUAAGUCGUAGGUCAUUCAAGGACACAUUCUUCUACCUGUCCCAAACGGAAGACAUUCUAAGUGAUUUCUGCAAAAUCGAUAGGGUUAUUCUCAAAUCGCUCUGGCUCAAAACUUUCUGGUUUAUUCCAAUACUUGGGAUCUCUUCCCAUUCCAAAUAUAUUUACAAAGACUUUAGCUUUGUCAGGUAUAAGAUAUCCAUUGACUUCACAAUCUUCUCUGCAAGGUCUUGGGAUAAGAGAUGUCAAGAGUAUGUAGCCUCAAAGUUUCUUUUAUUACCAACUUAAGGUACUUCAACUUUUGAAUAUCAGUGGCUGUCGCUGAUUUCUCCAUUCCAGCUGAGAAAAUAUCCUACAACAAAUACACAAUCUUGUUAAUGAAAAUGUAACUAGGAACAUUACUUAAAAGAUUAUACAUAUAGCCAAAAUACUUGCAGCAAGAACAGCUUUGAUGUUGCCAUUGUCUCUAUUGGAAACACCAAUUUCCUUUACCUGUAACAGAACAUCCACUGCAUCUUCGUCUCCGAAUUCUCCAUUUCCUCUUCUUGUCAACUCUCUUCGAUCCAACCCUACAUUUGAAAUGGGCGGGCUAUCUUAAACAUCAUCUGAAACACUUGCCCUUUGAUAUUAAGAGGGACGAAAAAGGUUGUCUCCAUCGUUGGAUUUCUCCUCUGCCGUCAACUCACGUGUGUAGUAACAAGGAGUAACACAAAGAAUGUAACUUAGUAUCUCAAAAAAUUGCAUCCAUAAAUAGGAUUAACACGUAGUGUAAGUUACAAAUUUAGA